UAGUCCACGCCGUAAACGAUGGUUACUAGCUGUUCGGACUUCGGUCUGAGUGGCUAAGCGAAAGUGAUAAGUAACCCACCUGGGGAGUACGUUCGCAAGAAUGAAACUCAAAGGAAUUGAUGGGGGCCCGCACAAGCGGUGGAGUAUGUGGUUUAAUUCGAAGCAACGCGCAGAACCUUACCUACCCUUAACAUUUCACGACGUAUACAGAGAUGUAUAUUUCUCUUCGGAGACGUGAGGAUAGGUGCUGCAUGGCUGUCGUCAGCUCGUGUCGUGAGAUGUUGGGUUAAGUCCCGCAACGAGCGCAACCCUUGUCUUUAGUUGCCAUCAUUAAGUUGGGCACUUUAAAGAGACUGCCGGUGACAAACCGGAGGAAGGUAAGGAUGACGUCAAGUCAGCAUGCCCCUUAUGCUCUGGGCUACACACGUGCUACAAUGGCCGUGACAAAGAGUUGCUACUUUGUGAAAACAAGCUAAUCUCAUAAACGCGGCCUCAGUUCGGAUUGCAGG
RNAcentral lists this ribosomal RNA (509 nucleotides) under uncultured bacterium. RNAcentral's name for it is "bacterial SSU rRNA". It matches the Rfam family "Bacterial small subunit ribosomal RNA", at positions 791 to 1304 of the family's 1533-position model. The record is from RNAcentral.